Molecule: long non-coding RNA, 382 nt
Organism: Aedes aegypti (yellow fever mosquito)
Lineage: Eukaryota; Metazoa; Arthropoda; Insecta; Diptera; Culicidae
Exons: 2
Source: RefSeq, a predicted model, not a curated record
ACCGUCAGGUUUAGUAGACGCGCGUGAGGUUCGUUGCUUGUUUUUAUUACCGACGCGAUCGCGGGUUUCGUUCUGUUCCUGUGAUCUAUCUGAGUGAUUGCCAGAUUAACGCAGGUGCAGCAUUAGUUAAUUGGCAGUUUAUGGAAAUCUGUUAGCAUGUUUCGUCUUUUUCAUAAUUGCAAUUAAGAAGCAGCAGCGAAGGCUUGGUUGUUUGGUAGAUGUACUUGACAGUGCUCGUUUUCGAGGUGUUUAGCGUGGAAAUUAGCGUUUAAGUUUGCGUCGAUCUCGUUCCCAGCAUUGUGGAAGAAGAAGAAGAACAAGAAACGAUAACCUAAAAGUAGUGCGAGUACGUGAGCUGAAGUUUGAGUACAUUUUGGAAGAG